GAAGAGAGAAACAGAGGCAUGGCCUGUGUAAGAAAACAAAUGCUAGUUUGGGUUUUAUCUUCCAAAAGCAUCGAUAUUUACUACAAAACAGAAGAUUCUUUUAACCAGUCUCCAACACAGGUUGUAAGAAGCUGAGUUAGUCAAGUUCCCAACAACUGCAGGGCCAAGGUGGAGAGGAGGCCCCUUCGGGGAUUUCCAACUCACCCAAGGGCACGUUCGUGUACAGAGCAGCCAGGAGGAGCCACUUGAACCCACACAGCUGGCCGCUGGGAAGCCGUGGGGUAGGAACACAUCCCCAGUCACCCUGGCAUUAGAAACAGGAGCAUCUGUUCCCUGGCAUAGCUGGAAAAUCAAUCCUCCACUGGAAUGGAAUGCAGCAGGGGACAGCAUGUCAAGCAGACUGCCUAGAACCCGACCACCUUGAAGGACCUCGAGUGGGGAGCAGGUGCAGUUCAUGCCACAGGCAGACAGCUACUGCAAAGACAAGAGAUCGGGGGCUGCCUUUCCCUUACAGCCUACUACAACUCCAAACUACGGAACAGUGAGUAAGAGACUGAAAAACCAGGAGAAAUAGAGCAGACAAGUGGGAGUCAACAGAUACAACUGAUUUGAUUUAAACAAUUCUUAAAAAUAAAAUGAAGCAAUCUUGAUUCUGC
Molecule: long non-coding RNA, 656 nt
Filed under: Rattus norvegicus (Norway rat)
Lineage: Eukaryota; Metazoa; Chordata; Mammalia; Rodentia; Muridae
Description: long non-coding RNA NONRATT011019
Source: RNAcentral